This 361-nucleotide ribosomal RNA is filed under the name uncultured bacterium. RNAcentral describes it as "bacterial SSU rRNA". It matches the Rfam family "Bacterial small subunit ribosomal RNA", at positions 29 to 417 of the family's 1533-position model. The record is from RNAcentral.
AGCGAACGCUGGCGGCAGGCUUAACACAUGCAAGUCGAACGGGCACUUCGGUGUCAGUGGCAGACGGGUGAGUAACGCGUGGGAACAUACCUCUUGGUUCGGAACAACACAGGGAAACUUGUGCUAAUACCGGAUAAGCCCUUACGGGGAAGAUUUAUCGCCGAGAGAUUGGCCCGCGUCUGAUUAGCUAGUUGGCGUGGUAAAAGCGCACCAAGGCGACGAUCAGUAGCNGGUCUGAGAGGAUGAUCAGCCACAUUGGGACUGAGACACGGCCCAAACUCCUACGGGAGGCAGCAGGUGGGGAAUAUUGGACAAUGGGCGCAAGCCUGAGCCAGCCAUGCCGCGUGAGUGAUGAAGGCCC